Molecule: ribosomal RNA, 441 nt
Filed under: uncultured bacterium
Lineage: Bacteria
Description: partial 16S ribosomal RNA
Rfam family: Bacterial small subunit ribosomal RNA
Source: RNAcentral
CUACGGGGGGCUCCAGUGAGGAAUAUUGCGCAAUGAGCGAAAGCUAGACGCAGCAACGCCGCGUGAGCGAUGAAGGCCUUCGGGUCGUAAAGCUCUUUUCUGGGGGAAGAGGAAGGACGGUACCUCAGGAAUAAGUGUCGGCUAACUACGUGCCAGCAGCCGCGGUAAAACGUAGGACGCAAGCGUUAUCCGGAUUUACUGGGCGUAAAGCGCGUGCAGGCGGACCGUUAAGUCGUGCGUGAAAGCUCCCUGGCUCAACCGGGAGAGGUCGUACGAAACUGGCGGACUAGAGGACAGCAGAGGAGUGUGGAAUUCCGGGUGUAGUGGUGAAAUGCGUAGAUAUCCGGAGGAACACCAGUGGCGAAGGCGGCACUCUGGGCUGUACCUGACGCUAAGACGCGAAAGCAUGGGUAGCGAACGGGAUUAGAUACCCGUGUAGUC